RNAcentral lists this long non-coding RNA (13014 nucleotides) under Coffea arabica (coffee). RNAcentral's name for it is "long non-coding RNA (CARA_LNC005073)". Lineage: Eukaryota; Viridiplantae; Streptophyta; Magnoliopsida; Gentianales; Rubiaceae. The record is from RNAcentral.
GUGCCAUGCUUCAACCUUCCAGCCGAGAGGAGCUUGAGAGAAGAAUAAAGAAAUUUCUCUUGUUUUGCUUCCACUUCAGCCAAGAGGAACCAGAGAGAGAACACUUAAAGGAAGCUUGUGUCUUACUUCCAUUUCCAGCUUGCUUGAUCGGGUAGAAGGACCAAAACAGGGGAGUUAACUUCUAGCUUGUGUCAAAGGUAACAUGACUUGGAAUUUCAAUUUCUUUCACAUACUUUAGAGGGCUUUUGAUGUAUGUUUGGUUGAGGUUGGAUUGAGGUAGAAACAGGUUGUAGAGACUUGCUUUAUUGCUGGAAAUUUUCCAGCUUGGAUUGAACUAGGAAUAACCAUUUGUUUUCUAGUUUUUGGCUCUUGUUUUCCUGCAAGUUACUAGGGAAUCCUUGAAUCCUUUUCGAUAGAUGAAGCUUGGUGUAAAUAUAGCAUGCACGUAAGCUAGUAGUUGCUAAAAUGAAAUUUCUAGAUUUGACCGAGGGAGAAACAUGAGCUCAAUUUACAGCCGAAUUGGCCUUGGCCUAAAACAUGAAAGUUGUAGGGAAUGACAUUUUAGAGAUGCCUGCAAAAUUUCGGGUCAAUCAGAAUAGUGUAGAGUGAGAAAAGUCAAAAAUACCCCUGCUGCCCUGGUUUCAUCCGAACUUGGGACUUGUUUCUGUAAUUAGCUAAUUUGGCUAGGAAUACUUCUGAACUGGAUGUUGAGGUCUUCUGAGGAAAUGUAGCCUGAUGUCCUAGCUAUCAUUUGGCUUUGGAAUCAAUGGAUUUGGACUUAAGUAGACCGAAUUGUAGUUCGUUAACCAGAACGUGGGUUGUCCACCUGUUUUUACGGUUCUGAACUAGUGUAUUGUAUUUUUGACCUAGUUGCACUACAAACUGGACUGAGUGACCUUCUACAUUGUUGUAGUCCUGUCUCUUAGCUUCGAAACGGUGUAUUUUGCACCUCUAUCCAAUUAUCGUAGUGCCUUUAGUGCCAUUUCCGCAAAAUGUUGUCAAGUAUUGUUUUAUCUGAAAAUGUUUCUAGCUUGCUUUUCGUAAUUAUUGUUGUAUUUAUAUGACUUUAAGCCUAGUGAACGGCUUUUGGACAUGAGAUUAUUCUAUAUGACAUGUUGGGACUGAUUUGAGAAAAAAAUGAAGCCAUUAAUGGCUGGAAAAAUAGGUAAACACAAGGGACAUGCCGUCCGUUUAUUUUCUUGUAAAUUGAAUAAGUUAAAGUGGUUUUUUUGGAAAUAUAUUUUGUAUCAAAUUGAAUGUAUUGCCUUGGAAGUGACUUCGGGUUUUUGAAUAAGGGUUCGAAGACUACAUUUCUAUUCGAACUCGUAUAUUGUCUUUUGGCAAAUAAUGUGACCGUUUUAUCUAUUGAAAACAUGAUACCUCUUUCGUUUCAAACUUCAAAUGGUCCUUAAGCCUUUCCAACCGAUAGAGGUAUGAGUUCGGGUUUUAACGGCCACAAGUGAAUUGCUUUUAAACAAGGUUUUAAGUGUGGAGGUUAAAGUAUUGUAUCCUCCUUUUCACAUGAUUUUCAUCAAGGCAUUGGUCAUUCAUUGGCCACUUGAAUAAAUAUGUUUUCGAGUCACAUAAGCAAUUCCGAAAGAAUGUUUUCUUAGCCCCUCUUCUGGAACUUUGAAUUGUUUUGAGUCAAGUGUUUCCUUUUAGAGACUUUAUAACCCUAUUGGUUUGGGUUGCAUUAGGAUUAUUCUUGUUUACGGAUCCAAAUGCCUCUUUACACUUUGAAAGUCUUUUAUACGUUUACUCGCGAGUAGUCGGGUUUUGGUUGAUUUCCUCUAAAUCAUGUUAGAUGGAUUGUAAUGUGAUCUUUGUGGAAUUUUAGGUUUCAUUGGUGAUUGAGAAUUGGGCGUUGUUUUGCGGUUAUAGGUGAGUGUUCCUUAUUUGUUAUUUUUCCUGAUUAUAUGGCUUGUUUGAAUGAUUGAUAACAUGUUAAACGCUUUCAAUGAUUGCUAAACGAUUUUCGAGGCGAGUGUGUACUUUACCGCACUUAGCCUAAAUGAUUGUGAAAUUUUAAUGAUUGAGCGAUUGAAAUGUUAAUUGUGCAUGAAUGUAGGCCUUCGGGCUGAACUGGCCAUUGCCCCUUGUUACCGGUCGUCUCGAGCCAGUCGGACUCGGUCGAGCGAUUAGGAACUUGGGUGAAUGAUCCGGUAUACUCGAGUAUUACCCUGUAGGUUGGUGGAGCCUGGCCAAAAGCCAGGGACGGGGUGAAUGAAAUGAAUGAAUGAAUGAACGAGGGGUUUUACUUAUACAAAAUGCUUUUUCAAAUGAUUGAAGGAAGGAGAAUGGAAGGAGAAUGAAUGAAUGAACGAUUGGCUCCUUGUGAGCCCGUAUCCUUUUAAUGAAUGUGUUUAUCGCUUUAUUGUACUUGUAUUGUGAAUUGUUGUUUACAUGCAUUUGUUUCUCUUGUUGCCUAUGUGUACGGAACCUCACUGAGCUUUUCAGCUCAUCCCUUUAGUUUUUCUUUUCCUUAGCAGGGGAAGACGUGCGAGGACGGAAGCUACGAAUGGAUUAGCCGUUUUAGUACUUUGGUUUCUUUUGUAAAGGUUCUCGCCCUAGUGCUUGGCACGGGCUGGUUGUAUGGUGAAUUGAGAACCUAUAUUUUGACAGUUGUAUUUCCAUUGAGACAGUAAUGUAUAUAAGUUCACGUUUGAGUUUGGAAUUAUUGUUAUUUCGAUUGUUUUGUGGAUUUUCUUAUCUUUUCUUAUAGUGACUGACUGAGUCCCGGCGAGAGCUGGGCAGGCGGUCCGCCGAUACCCUGGGGUACGCCCUAGGGAGAAGUGGGGCCGUUACAGUUGGUAUCAGAGCCUGCUUCGCGUGGUCUCUGCGCGGAGUGAGCCUGGACUAAGUGAUGAAUAGGUAUGACGGACUAAGUGCUCGUUUGAGCAUAAGCUUUGAACUGUGAAUGUUAUAGGCCUUAAAUCUUUCUCGGGGUAUCUAAGGACAAUAGAUAGGUACGUCUGGGAGGAAUUCCGAUUGUAGAUGGUUUACUCUUGGGACUGGCCAGCUCGAGAAGUGAAUUAUCUUAUUUCGGAUUCUCGUACCCGAGUACUCCAGAGUUGAGACGAUGUUAAGUAUAUGAGAUUUAUAUUUUGGGACCAUGAACAGGCUUUGUCCAACUAGAAUGAGUACCAGAGGUUAAGGGAUAUCCAGUGUGAACAGUAAGUGACGUGAGAGACCGGACGGGGCUACCUUAGCUGAGACUGGGGCGACCAUUACCUCCUUGUUUGAUUCGCCAGUAUAUUCUUAUUAAAUGACGUCUAUUGAUGUAAUUGUGCGUAUGAAUGUUUUCCUGACUUGAUAUGUACUUGUGAAAUUGAUCCUCUAGUUACUUGAUAUGUGGAGUGUUAUGUGCGUAAAUGUUACUUGUGUACUUGGUACAUCGAUGUUGUUGUUUUAGACAUCUUAUCGCCUUUAUUCAUUAAAUUAACUUUUGGAAAAAAAAAGAGAGAAGGGAAAUAUGUAUCUAUGGACGGGAGACGUAGUCGUAGACGUGGUUAAGGCCGUGGAACUAAACGGACCUCAGAACCAAGAGCAGAAAGGGAAAUGUCUGUCGAGCAAGACCAAGGACCGAGAAAUGCAACUGGAGACCAAAUAGCGACGGUAAUGCAACAAAUGACGGAUAUUUUGGCGAGAUUAGUAGAGCAACAAGGCCAAGUCCCGGUAAAUCAACCCCGGAACCCUGAGAUGGGCGAAGAUAAGGCUCUGGAGAGGUUUCAGAAGUUUGCACCUCCAAAAUUCGCUGGAGGGCCUGACCCGGAUACCGCUGAACAAUGGCUAGAGGCCAUGCAAAGCGGAGGGGACAGCUAACAUACCAAAAGGUAUCACAGAAAGAGUCCAUUCAUGAGUGAAGACAGGAUCACAGCCUUAAACUACACCGAGCUAAGGCAAGUGAACUUCGCAGUAUUUCAAUUUGAAGGACCGGCUCGAUCAUGGUGGAACGUAAUUAGAGCGAAAUGGGAAAGGGAACGAACCAUAUGGACCUGGGCGAACUUUACCAGAGAAUUUAAUGAGAAGUACCUCCCACCUUUAGUCCAGGAAAGGAGGGAGGACGAAUUUAUUGGACUACGUCAGGGGACAUUGAGUGUGGCUGAAUACGAAACGAAAUUUACCAAACUAUCCAAGUUUGCCUCAGAAUUAGUCGCUACGGAACCGAGAAGAGUAAGGCGGUUCAUACAGGGAUUGAACUUGGACAUUCAGGAGGCGUUGGCAGCAGCGCAAGUGAAUACCUUUACGGAGGCCCUUGAGAAGGCUCAACGAAUCGAGAGAGUCAAGGCACAAAUAAAGGCCUCCCAAACUCGGAAAAGAGGUGCAUCGGGCAGUGGAUUAGAAGAGUUUAGUGAAUCGAUGGCGCCGUCUAAAGUACAAAAGGGGAGCCAGUUAUCCUAUCCGCCAUGGACAAUAAGGGCGAUGGAUGAGAGGUCUACUAAAGGAAGUCAAAUUGGAUCUAAGGAGAUUUCUCAAGAUAGUCAAAAGGUGACCUCUCCCUUGAUUUGCGGUUACUGUGGAAAGGCCAACCACACCGAAGAUGCUUGUUGGCAGAAAGGGCGGAAAUGUUUAAUUUGUGGAAGCAGUGAGCAUCAAGUGAGCAAUUGUCCGAGGAGGCAUCCACGUGAGGGUAGUACUCAGUCACAAGAUGGAACGAAAUCAAAACCAGUGAAAGAAAGAGGGAACCGAACCAAUGUACCGGCCAAAGCAUAUGCAUUAGAUAACCGAACGGUUCCAGACUCGCCUGAGGCUAAUGAAGGUAAAAAUUUCGAGAACGAAAUUUCCUAAGGGGGGGAGAGUGUGAGAACCCUAACUUCCCUCAAUUUUCUUGGCCUUUUGCUUAUUUUCUUUUCUCCAUUUUUAGUGAAAUUUGUUAACCCUUUCGGUUAAACAAUGGAAGGUUCAUUGUUAUGUGCAUUUGUGUGUGAGAUAUGUAUGUAAGUGUAUGUGUUAGAAGUGCGGUUGAACGCGGCAAUCGAAUUCGGAAAAGAAGAGAAAAUUUUGGAAAAAUGAAGUGGCCAAAUCCGGCCGGAAAUCCGGCCAGUUUCUUGCCGGAUAGCUGGCCGGAUUGCCCUGUAAUUUUGAAAAAAAAUUUGUUUAGCCUCUGCCUCAUAUCCGGUCAAGAAUCCGGCCGGAAAUCCGGCCAGAUUCUGGCCGGAUUGUGACGUGUCACAGCCGGUCAGAGGCUUUGACCGGCUGUUUCUUUCAUUCUUAUCCCACCUUUUUGGUCCAAAAUAUCUCAUUUCUUCCCUGUCCAGCUGUGAGCUUUGAGAGCAAAGAGAGAAAAACUCUUCAAUCUUCAUCUUUGAUUUUUGCUUCAAUCUUGAAACUCCACCAAUAGAUUUUUAAUUCCUUCCAUACAAGUGAGCUUCUUGGAAGGUUAAAGCUUUUGGGUGGAGUGAUUUUUAAAGGGGAGCUUGGAAUUUCUAGUCUUCUUGAGUUGUGAGGUAAGAUAAUUAAGAAAGUUCCCUCUUGCAUUGAUAAUGGCUAAUUUGUGAAUUGUAUGGGUUGGAUAUGUUAUUUUGUGAGUUAUAUCUUGAUUAGGACCAAGAUAAAAGUACAAAGGAAUAAAAUGCAUUUUCCGCCCACAUAUCUUCUAAAGAAAUUCUGCUUUGAAAAUUUAAAGAAAAACUAGGAUGUACUAGUUUUAUUUGUAAGCGAUGAGUGGAAAUAAGAUAUAUAUGCUUUAAAUAUGUGUAAUUUUCCGAUUUUGGUAAAAAGGUGAGUUUUACUUGAAUUUCAAAUUUGAAAAUUUGUGAAUAACUAAUGAGUUGUUGAACUUUGUAUAUGAUGGGUUAAUACAAGAUUAACAUUUUCUAAGCUAAGUUUUCCCCCUUGAUUGUAUAUUGGUGUAAUCUCACACUUGAAUUUGUCCAUGCUUUACACGAAGAAAAAUAUAUAUAUAUAUCCUGAGUUUUCGAAAGAAUGGCAAGGUUAUGUUUAAUAAUGUGAAUCCUGAACUUGAUAAGAUUUCUGAUUACUUGAAAUACUCUUCUUAUGUUUUAAAAUUCUUGACUUUCAAGAAGAGUGAGCCAAUUUUAAAUGUACGGACUGAGGCAACUUUGAGAUAUAGAGCAACUGCAUUCAAGAGUACAAGUUAGUGUGAAUUGAUUUGGUUUCCAUUUGACACGUAAGGUAGCAAGUUGUACUUAUUCUUGGGUUUGAACUUGGAGCUUGAAACUUUAAUUACAAAACCCUAAGACUGGUUAUUUUUGGAGAUGAUGGUGUUCCGAUUGGUGGCUGGUUAUUAAAGAUUUUGAACUUCGAAUGGAUAAUCUUGGUUUUAGCUUGCGUUAUGGCUUUAUUGGAUCUAAUUUCGUAAAGGCGUGUGAUCUGAUUGAAAUUAGUGAUGUGUGGACCCUUUGGUUUAACUAUGGACUUAGAAAGGGGUAGUGCACGCUGUGAGGCCUUUUGUAUCCUGCUUGUAUGUACUUAUAUAUUUUUGUGGCACUUAAUUGCCUAUGUGCAAUAUUGGACAUAUUGGUCUUGUUUUGUAACUUCUAACCGUGCUAUAACUUUUGAUACAUGUAAUGAAUCAUGACCUGAUUUAAAUGUUUUUGCAACUUGUAUACGCGUUACGCUCUUUAUGCUUAGUUAUGCCUUUUCCUGUGCUUAUAGACUUUUCUUAAGUAGGGUAGCAGGAAUGAGAAAAGGGGACCGUGACCGAGGGCUUAGACAACCCUGUACUUGUGAGACAAAUUGAUAGACAGUUUCAUAUAAUUUAAUAGGUCCCUAGUACUGAAUAUGAAUCGAACAUAAACCCGAAGAUCCGAUCUACUAGUGUAUAAUGGAUUAACCUAGCCGGAAACUUGGUGAGAUUUUCUUGUGCGCAACAUAUGUUAUGAUUGGUUCUGUGCCAAUAUAUCAAUCUUAGGAAGUUUGAACUCCGAAAGUAUUGCAGUGGGUUGGUAAGAGAACUCGAACUGCCUGAAACCGAUUAGACUGAGCUUACUUGAGACUUGAACCUGUUUAGGCUAGUGUGCUCUUGCGUAUCCUCAAUGGACCUAAUUUGACUGAAUAUAUGGAAGGUGGACUUGAAUUUUGUGACUGUUUAAGAAUGUGAAUUGCUGGACAGAGGUUAGGCCAGUGUGUUCUUACUCGUACUCAUGACCCUUGAAUUUGAACUUGAACUUGCACUUGAACUUGAACUUAUAUUUUUGUUCGUACUCACGCACCAUGAACCUGAAGUAUUUGGCUCUGCUUUGACCCUACUCUUGAACUUAUUCGUACUGGUGUGGUUGUAGACCGGUUACUACUCUUCUGUAGCGGUUGAACUGAACCUCUCUGGUGGGGCAUUGCUUGUUGUGUUGUCCAGCACCACUAGGGAUGAACUUUUGAUUUGAAGCUUCGCUAUAUCCUGAAUUUCUUCCAAAUGUCUGGGACUUUACGUCCGACUUCAAGCCUUUUGCCUGUUUUAUCUGAUUACGCGAUUAAUUCCCUAUUGGACCAUGACUAUUUGAUAGGUUGGAUUGGUGUGAUAUGUAGUACUUGAACCUGAUAAGUGAUUAUUAAAUAAACCAUGCUUUGCUGGAUGUAAGGGGUAAGUUAGCCUCGUCUGCACUUAUUUCGGGAAUUCGGGCUAGAAAAUUGUUAAAUAAGGGAGCUCAAGGAUAUUUGGCUUUUCUUAUUAAUACCCGUAGCGAUAAGGUGAAUCUGGAGGACACACCGGUAGUGAAAGAAUUUUCCGAUGUUUUUCCUGAAGAAUUGGAGUCCCUACCCCCGGAACGGGAAAUAGCUUUUAAGAUUGAUGUAGCUCCGGGAACAGCACCUAUCUCAAGGACACCAUAUCGGAUGGCUCCAGCUGAAUUAAAGGAAUUGAAGUUACAAUUACAGGAUCUGUUGGAACGAGGUUUUAUACGAGAGAGUGAUUUCCCGUGGGGAGCCCCGAUUUUGUUUGUAAAGAAGAAAGAUGGGAAUUUGAGGCAACGUAGAUGGAUGGAAUUUCUGGAAGAUUAUGAUUGUACGAUUAAGUACCACCCUGGAAAGGCCAAUGUAGUGGCCGAUGCUCUAAGCCGUCAGGUACAAAUGGCUGGAUUGAUGGUUAAGGAAUUUCAAUUGUUGGAGGAAGUUAGCUAUUGGAAUCCUCGAUUAGAACCAAGGAAAGUGAUUUUGGAGAAUAUUGUGAUAACCUCCACUUUAUUGGAACGUAUUAAGGAAUCUCAGGAAAAGGACCCUGAAAUGCAAAAGUUGGUGGAGAAAGUCAAGAUGGGAGACCAGACCGAUUUCACUUUGGGAUCAGAUAGAAUAUUGAGAUUUUGAAAUCGGGUGGUUAUGCCAAAGGAUGAAGGGCUUAGGAAAGAAAUUUUGGAAGAGGCACACCGAUCAAAGUUUACAGUACAUCCAGGAGGGAAUAAAAUGUACCAAGAUUUGAAAAGUAUAUAUUGGUGGAAAAAUAUGAAAAAGGAAAUUGCCCAAUUUGUUCAGACAUGCUUGGUUUGUCAACAGGUUAAAGCCGAACAUCAGAAACCAUCAGGACUUUUGCAACCUCUAGAAAUACUUGAGUGGAAGUGGGAGAAUAUAACCAUGGAUUUUGUAUCAGGCUUACCAAGGACACAGAGAGGCCAUGAUGCCAUUUGGGUGAUAGUGGAUAGAUUGACUAAAUCAGCUCAUUUUCUACCGAUUAACAUAAAGUAUUCAUUGGAGAAUUUGGCCAGAUUGUACUUGGAUGAGAUCAUCAGACUACAUGGUAUACCUGUGAGUAUUGUGUCAGAUAGGGACCCAAGAUUGUUUCGAGGUUUUGGCAAAAGAUGCAAGAAGUGUUGGGGACUAAGUUAAACUUUAGUACCACCUAUCAUCCUCAGACUGAUGGACAAUCUGAAAGAACAAUUCAGACCCUUGAGGACAUGUUGAGGACUUGUGUAUUGGAUUUUGGAGAGAAUUAGAGUAAGUUUUUGACUUUAGUGGAAUUUGCCUAUAACAAUAGUUUCCACUCUUCUAUUCAAAUGGCUCCAUAUGAAGCGCUUUAUGGUCGAAAGUGUAGAUCCCCGAUUUGUUGGGAUGAAGUAGGUGAACGAAAAAUUUUUGACCCGACUACUGUAUCUUGGAUUGAGGAGGCUAAUGAAAAGGUAAAAUUGGUACGGCAAAAGAUUCAAACAGCUCAGAGUAGACAAAAAAAAGUUAUGCCGACAAUCGGAGAAAGGAUUUGGAGUUCACUGUUGGAGAUAUGGUAUUUCUCAAGAUUACGCCUUUAAAAGCAAGCUUGAUGUCCGGAAAAGGGAAGAAACUACAACCAAUGUUUGUAGGACCUUACAAGGUUAUCCAACGAGUUGGGAAUGUAGCUUAUAAGCUAGAAUUACCACCGAGCUUAUCUCGUAUUCAUAACGUGUUUCAUGUGUCCAUGCUUAAGAAGUAUCAUCCAGACCCCUCUCAUGUUUUACAACCGGAGAAUAUUGAGAUCGAUGAAACCCUAACCUAUGAGGAGAGACCGGUAAAACUUCUGGAUCGAAAGGUGAAGGAAUUGAGGAACAAGCAGAUACCACUAGUGAAAGUUCUAUGGAAGAACCAUGGAGUAGAGGAAGCAACAUGGGAAGUUGAAGAGACAAUCAGAGAGAAGUAUCCAGACUUGUUCAUCGACCAAGGUAAAUUUCGAGGACGAAAUUUUCUUAAGGAGGAGAGGAUGUGAGGACUCGCAAAAAAAAAAACUAUUAUUUUAUGCCUAAUUUAUGGCUUAAUGAAUUAUUUAAUUUGAUUUCUAUUCCAAGGAAUAUUUUCUAGUCUUAUUAGACCUAAAUACAUGGUAAUAUAACUUCGUUAUAUUUUUAAAAUGAUUCGUUUCGAAAAUUAAUUUCCUGGAGCGCGUUUCGUAAAAAUAGUGAAUAGUACUUGGAGAUUUUAUCCGCGUAGUAGCACAAUAAGCUUGGAAUAUUGGAGACUUGUACUAUGGUCCUAAAAUAGGUAAUCUUAGGUAUAAAUAUUCAAGUGAUAGUUAGUAGUGCAAUCGUUAUAAGAAUUUUUCGAAAGUUUCGCGUUAUAACGUCAAAUUUGACGGUACGCGUUUUCACACGCGUGACUUUAUUUGAGGGACUUUAGACCCUUAUUUUGGGACAAUUAAGAGUGAAUAAUACUUACAUGAAUAUUAAGGCAUUGGAGGUUUAGUGCACUAGUGAACCAAACGCGCGAAAAAAUCGAGCCGUAAUCGCACCAAACGGCCCCUAAUGAGAGUUGACUUUUGGGUGAAUUUCCACCACUUGUUUUACCUUCUCUUGGAAGCUAAAGGAAAGUCUGAUCACUCUCUCUCCUCCUCUCAAGACAGCCGACCAAACACCCUCCUCUCUCUAACUCAUUUGCUUCAAAAUUUCUGCUCACUAAUCUCACUCAAAACCACCCCAAAUCAUCUCCAAAUUCAACCAAACUUGCACCACACCUAACUUGAUACUUGAGGAGCAUUUUGAGCUGCAAACAAGGGCUGGAAAUCACGGUUUUUCUGGGGCAAUAGAGGGCCGAAAAUUCUGCUGAACAUCAACCCAAAGUAUGUGAUGAUCCACUCUUGAAAACUUGAAGUUUGGAAUCUAUCUUACCUUGUUAAGUUCAUGCAUGCAUUUGGUUAGCUUGUGUAUGGUGUAAAAAUGUGAUUGUGGGCUCUUUGUAUUCCCACACUUGGGUUGUUGUUGCUGAUGUGAUGAUUGAUGGUGGUUAUAUUGUUGGUUUAGUGGUUAAAAUGAUGCAUUAGUGGUGGGUAAUUAGUAGAAACUUCAUUGGGUGUAAGAAGCUAAAAUUUCCGAUUUUGCCCCUGCCAUGUUCGGACAUUUCCAGGCCAAUUUUUAAUGGUCUAACGGCUUGAAUUGGACGUUUAUAGGAUGUAUUAGAUGUGUGAAAAAUUUCAUUGGAAAAUAUUGAGGUUUGAUUGAGCAAAUGAAUUUUCUUGAGAAACUAGCAAAUCUGGAAAACUGUUCGCGUAUGAUUCUGACCAGUGGUAGUAUUUCGGCUAUAACUCUGUCCUCGGAUGUCGAAAUCAUGUGCCGUCGGUGGCGUUUGAAACUAGACAUUCCUGGCUUUAAUUUGGUAUAUAAUGCACGUUCUGAUUCUUUGUGAGCAAGCCGAACCACAUGUUUUAAGUUCGCUGUCCUGUUGCUCUGUUCAUCUGUAAUGAAGUGUUCAGGCAGCAACUUGAUGCCCGAUUUUGCACCAGAUGGGUGCCGAAUUUGGAAACGAUUUCUUUUGUGAUAUUUUAUUGCUAUGAAUGUACUUUCCAACGGCGUAAGCCAUGCUCGAUUUCGAGUUAUAUUGACUGAGUUGUGACUGAAACAAGUGGACUGCUCUGUUUUGGAAAAACCCUAAUGUUGGACUGGUUUGGAACAAGAUCUUGGAGUGAACUUGUUAAUUGAUGUUCUUGAUACUAAACACUUACCAAAGGCAUUAUGGUUGUUUCUUAGGCCUUUAUUUCACAAAUGAACCAUGAUUGGAUAGUUUGCUUGAUUAAACGUUUUGAAAUGGGUAAUGAAAGUCUCAAGGCAGAUUGCCUUAUAAUUUUCCUGAACUUUGGUUGACUAAUUAACUAUCUUUCCGAAAGUAUUUUUCCCUGAAAUUUGAUAGAACGGUACCUUUCAUAUGGGAGUAAAAUACUGCCAAUUUUUGUACCAAUCCAAGUUCGUUUCGAUACCCAAUUAAAUUGCUAGAGUUGGAGGUUCAAAUCUGGAAAUUCUUCUCCAGUCUUGAAUUUCCCCAACUUUGAGCUACCGUAUCUCGGUACUCGAAACUCCGAUUCUUGAUCUGCUUGUUUUGUUAUAAACCUCACUUGUAACACUAAUUGAGCUACAAAUUUCAGAGGCCGGUUUGCAACGUGUGAAUCGUGCCGAAUUUCCAAAGUUGGCCGAAAUCCAACUUAAUUCUGCCAUGAAAACCAACCCUGCGUCUUCAAACUCAUUUUUGAACACUUUUCACUUCGAUUCAUAGAAAAGUGUCUUCUAGGGACUUAUAGUACUUUCUAAGAGGUUUCCAACGGUAUAAAGUUUUCCAAUUCUUGACUUAUACCGAGCGAGUUAUGAUUUUUCAAAAAUUCAUAAUAAAACUGAAAAUUUUCCAAUUUCAAAGAAAUAGAGUUUUUCAAGAACUCUUUAUUCUUUUGAUAUUCUUAAACGUUUUGCCCUCGAUUCUCAUGAUAAAAACUCAAAUAAUAUUGUACCUAAUAAAAGGCAAGUCGAACCUCGAUUUACGUGUAAUCGAGGUUCCCUUUUCGAAAUAAUCCUUAAAUUGUACUAGUGUACAAUCUUCUUGAUAAGUGGGUUAAUUGUGUAAUUAUCCACUAUUAAUUGCCAGGCGCACAAGGAGACCUUCAAGAGGAACUCACAGUGGACACUUGAACUCCCAGAAAAUAAUUCUUAUUGAAUAGCUCGGUGAGUGUCAAGUGUGUGAAAUUUGAUACUUGCUUAUUUGUGAUAAUUGUUGGAAGUUUUAAGAAUAAGGGCGGGUGCGUACUUUAUCGCGCUCGUUCUAAUUUCAAAUGAAUGAAUGAAAUGUAUUGAAUGAAUGAAUGAAAUGAAAUGUUAUGUCAUGAAUGCAUGUGUCGUUGGAGUGAAACUCCUCGACUUUCUAAUAAAUGGGGGACGCCCAAACUCAUAGGCCGACCUUGGACUCGAGCCGGCAAUGGGCUUGGUCGGGAACCUAGGCGAGCCAUGAGCCAUAUAAGCUCGACCUAAUAAGAGGUCCUGCUUGGCAUACUCGUAGAGUAUCGCCUUAUAAUAGACUUGUGGGCCCUUGGGGUGUACGGUGGACGGAGGGAAGUAAGUGGUGAUCUACGGAAAUGGAAAUACCGACCCGGUUGACAGGAGGGUCAAUGCGGGAAAGUAUACGAAUGACAUCAACAGAGCGAGUGGAACUUAGCUCCUGAGAGCUACUAUAUCCUUGAAUUGUUUCUGAUUUACUUUUCCUGCUCGAAUGAUUGAUUAAUGAAAUAUCCUGGUUUUAUUUAAUGAAUUUGGGAUUGCUAUUUGAACAAAGUGCUUGCAUGUGUGUUCUUGGCCUCACGAGCAUUUUGCUCACCCUAUAGUUUUGUUUUCCUUAACAGGAUCGAAUCUC